RNAcentral lists this long non-coding RNA (553 nucleotides) under Musa acuminata (dwarf banana). RNAcentral's name for it is "long non-coding RNA (MACU_LNC006012)". Lineage: Eukaryota; Viridiplantae; Streptophyta; Magnoliopsida; Zingiberales; Musaceae. The record is from RNAcentral.
AAAGGUUCAGAAAAGAUUCUUCUGCUUUCAUGUUCUCAUAAAGCAGUGUCCAACCACCGGAGUCGCAGUUCUGUAACAUCAAAUCCCACUUUGCCUUCCCUGCACAUGAGUGGUGAUGUUGUUGCAACUGAUCAGAGAAGCAAAGCCUUCGUAUCAUCUUUAAGCAAAAGCUCUUCUCAUCAUCUUUUCGUGAAGAACAUUUCUGCGACUGCGCUCCUUUUGCUUUCACCUUAGGUGACCACCACCUCCACUUGUUCCACCAUUGCUCGGUGGACAGUGCGCAGCAUGUGCCGCUCACAGCACAGAGGAAGAAGAAGGAACAUAAAAGGGGCAGUGACGGCAACUCCCCUCCCUCCUACAUUCUUCCUCGACUCCAUGUGGAUCGACUUUUGUGGGCAGCUGAAGCUUUCCUACUGCCCUCUCGAUCUCGUCCUGUGUGGUAAAAGCUCGCUCGCUGUCACUUCUGAGCGAGCUUUAUUCGGGUGGGCCGCUAAUGUAUUCGGCCCGUUACUAACUCAUGAUGGCCCAUUUAUUACUACAAAGGAUCCGAGUA